RNAcentral lists this ribosomal RNA (349 nucleotides) under Lobiopa falli. RNAcentral's name for it is "partial 12S ribosomal RNA". Lineage: Eukaryota; Metazoa; Arthropoda; Insecta; Coleoptera; Nitidulidae. The record is from RNAcentral.
UUAUAAAUGUUAAUUUAUUACUUAAUUAUUAAAAGUUAUGUUCUUUAAAGUUAAAGAUUUUGGCGGUAUUUUAGUCUAUUCAGAGGAACCUGUUCUAUAAUUGAUAGUCCACAAUUAGUUAUACCAAUAUUAUUAAUUUAUAUAUCGUCGUAGUUUGAAUAUUUUAUAAAAAUAAAUAAUAUUCAAGAUUUUUUAUAAGAAAAUAAAUCAGAUCAAGGUGUAGUUUAUAUAUUGGAAGAAAUGGGUUAUAUUAUAUAUAAAUUUUGAUAAAAAUUUUAAAAGUUUUUUGAAUUUGGAUUUGACAGUAAUUUUAAUUAUAUUAUUAAAAUGAUUUUAGCUCUAAAAUAUG